AUGGACACGUAAGUUUUCUUUCAGUUUCUCCUCUAUGUGGGGAAAGCUGUACUAGUGUCCUAUAGUAACACAGAAGCUAUCUGUUCAACUCUGAU
Molecule: small nucleolar RNA, 95 nt
Filed under: Gallus gallus (chicken)
Lineage: Eukaryota; Metazoa; Chordata; Aves; Galliformes; Phasianidae
Description: partial GGN151 snoRNA
Source: RNAcentral